RNAcentral lists this ribosomal RNA (430 nucleotides) under uncultured bacterium. RNAcentral's name for it is "bacterial SSU rRNA". It matches the Rfam family "Bacterial small subunit ribosomal RNA", at positions 355 to 776 of the family's 1533-position model. The record is from RNAcentral.
UGGGGAAUUUUGCGCAAUGGGCGAAAGCCUGACGCAGUAACGCCGCGUGAGGGAAGAAGGCCUUCGGGUUGUAAACCUCUGUUAGGAGGGAAGAACAGUUAAAGCGUGAAUAACGUUUUGAUUUGACGGUACCUCCAGAGAAAGCACCGGCUAACUACGUGCCAGCAGCCGCGGUAAAACGUAGGGUGCUAGCGUUGUUCGGAAUUACUGGGCGUAAAGGGCGCGUAGGCGGCCAAAUAAGUCAGGUGUGAAAUCCCAUGGCUUAACCAUGGAAGUGCGCUUGAAACUGUUUGGCUUGAGUACGAGAGAGGGAAGCGGAAUUCCGGGUGUAGAGGUGAAAUUCAUAGAUAUCCGGAGGAACAUCGGUGGCGAAGGCGGCUUCCUGGAUCGAUACUGACGCUCAGGCGCGAAAGCGUGGGGAUCAAACAGG